CCUACGGGUGGCAGCAGUGGGGAAUAUUGGACAAUGGGCGAAAGCCUGAUCCAGCCAUGCCGCGUGUGUGAAGAAGGCCUUCGGGUUGUAAAGUACUUUCAGUGGGGAAGAAAGCCUUGGGGCUAAUACCCUCGAGGAAGGACAUCACCCACAGAAGAAGCACCGGCUAACUCCGUGCCAGCAGCCGCGGUAAUACGGAGGGUGCGAGCGUUAAUCGGAAUUACUGGGCGUAAAGCGCGCGUAGGCGGUCUGAUAAGCCGGUUGUGAAAGCCCUGGGCUCAACCUGGGAACGGCAUCCGGAACUGUCAGGCUAGAGUGCAGGAGAGGAAGGUAGAAUUCCCGGUGUAGCGGUGAAAUGCGUAGAGAUCGGGAGGAAUACCAGUGGCGAAGGCGGCCUUCUGGACUGACACUGACGCUGAGGUGCGAAAGCGUGGGUAGCAAACAGGAUUAGAUACCCCUUGUAGUC
RNAcentral lists this ribosomal RNA (466 nucleotides) under Vreelandella stevensii. RNAcentral describes it as "partial 16S ribosomal RNA". It matches the Rfam family "Bacterial small subunit ribosomal RNA", at positions 338 to 795 of the family's 1533-position model. Lineage: Bacteria; Pseudomonadati; Pseudomonadota; Gammaproteobacteria; Oceanospirillales; Halomonadaceae. The record is from RNAcentral.